UACGAGGGGGGCGAGCGUUGUUCGGAAUUAUUGGGCGUAAAGGGCGCGUAGGCGGCGGGGUAAGUCGGGUGUGAAAUCUCAGGGCUCAACCCUGAAACUGCACUUGAUACUGCUCUGCUUGAGGACUGGAGAGGAGACUGGAAUUCACGGUGUAGCAGUGAAAUGCGUAGAUAUCGUGAGGAAGACCAGUGGCGAAGGCGGGUCUCUGGACAGUUCCUGACGCUGAGGCGCGAAGGCCAGGGGAGCAAACGGG
This 253-nucleotide ribosomal RNA is filed under the name uncultured bacterium. RNAcentral's name for it is "partial 16S ribosomal RNA". It matches the Rfam family "Bacterial small subunit ribosomal RNA", at positions 524 to 776 of the family's 1533-position model. The record is from RNAcentral.